CAAGUUUUGUUGCGUUAACGUUAUCACUGCAAAUACUGCUAUUUGAAAUCUUAUUUUAUUUUUGAGAUUACAUAAAAGGAUAAAAAUACGAUGCAAAGUCUUGAAUCGACUAAACUCAAAGUAGAGAAUCUGAAAAGGGCAUUGAAGAACGUUAUAGAAAGAGUAGGAGAGUUGAAUAAAGAAAAGGAAUCGGUUCUUCAGUAGUUGCAAGAUUGCAAAAGAAAGUUAAAAGAAGCUUAUGAUCAGGCAGAAGUGAUGCACAAGGAACUGGAAAAUGUUAAACGACUGAAUGAAGAGUGACUGAAAGUUGCCUUGAAUAAAUAUGAAGUAAUGCAUGAUUUCACCUGCGACGAGGGGUGUAGAUCCAUUAUGAGACGUACUUGUAUGCUCUUAAUGGAAUCAAAUUUAGUACACUUAAAGAAAUAAAAAGAAGUUAGAAUUGCUUAUUUUAAAUAAAAAAAUCCAGCUUUAAAAGCGUCGAUUUUCAAAUUUUAAUAACCAGAAAAAAUGUUUCCAAACCGCGGAUACACUGAAAAAUUACAUCGGGAAUUUUUUCCUUGAAUUGACUAGAAGCGAAAAUGACAUCGAAGGUGACGACGUUUGGAAUAUGAAUGAGCCUAAUGAAAAUCUGCAACAUAUGGAUGAAGAAAACUAGGAAGUAGUACAGGAGAAUAAAUAAAUAAAUUUGUUCACAAUUAAGAAUGACUCGCUGCAUACGAAAAGAGAUGACAGCGAAAAUUCAAGCGAAUACAACAGCGACGAAAAUAUGUGCAGUAAAUUGAGAGCUUCCUUCGUCAUGGAACAUUUAAAUGCAUGUGAAAGUUAUUUGAUUCCUUCCUUAAUAACAUUUUUUGGUACAUUAUUCAGCCAGAUUUUUGAUAAAAUUAGCGGUGUUUUUAGUGUUCAUAAAAGUAAUGCAGGAAUGUUGUUACGAAUAUUGUUAUUUGUAAAACAUCGAUGCACAAUAAUUUCAGGUUCUGUUUUCACAAAAAUUAAAGCAUUAUCAUUCU
Belonocnema kinseyi is the source of this 1010-nucleotide long non-coding RNA. RefSeq lists it as uncharacterized. The transcript has 3 exons. The record is from RefSeq and is a predicted model, not a curated record. NCBI's taxonomy places the organism in Eukaryota, Metazoa, Arthropoda, Insecta, Hymenoptera, Cynipidae.